Long non-coding RNA from Mastomys coucha (southern multimammate mouse), 998 nucleotides. RefSeq lists it as uncharacterized. Lineage: Eukaryota; Metazoa; Chordata; Mammalia; Rodentia; Muridae. The record is from RefSeq and is a predicted model, not a curated record. The transcript has 6 exons.
GGCGUGGCAAUUAGCAGGACGUGGGCAGAGAGGCGUGGCAAGGUGGCACGUCUGUGGCAAGGGCGAAAACUAGGACUGAUCGCAACAGCGCUAUCUGAGCACUUGUCAGAAGGUCACUUCGCUGGCUCUGUCUCGGACUUACAGAGUGGGAACCUGCCCUGGACCUGCACUCUAAGAAGCCUUGCCUGCGCAGCCCUGCUUCUGUGCAAGAACCAUCUCUGAGUUCUUUCUCCUGGGGAGAGAAACAUCUCUUGGUUUCCUUAAGGGACGACGGAGCAGGCCCCUCAAACGCGUUGGAAAGACCAUCAGAGGGACAUCGCUGAGCCUGGAGUAGAAGUCUUUUUUUUUUUCUAUUUGAGGCUUUUUGUUGUUGUUGUUGUUUCUUUUUCCCACAGACCAGAGAGGUUGUCGACCCUCCUUUCAUUCGGGUUCUUGACUGAAAUAAAAGCCAUAAAGAACGGUGGAGAAGAGAAAGUGUGGAGAGAAAAGGAAGAAAGAAGAUAUACGGGAGUUGGGGACAGGAAGAUAAAUCACACUUUUUAAAAAAGAUUUUUAUUUAUAAUUAUAUGCAUAUCUAUCGAAGAUGACAAGAAGGAAGGAGUAUUCCACCAUAAAAAGAAAGUGCUAGACGAUUCUACAGUGUCCAUGAACUUUGAAGAUACUCCACUUACUGAAAACAACUGGAAGCCUCCAUCAUCGCCAUCCUGAACUUCAGCAACCCGACAUCGACACUCACUUCAUCCAGUCGCAGAGCCUGACUGCCUACAGGUCCUGGAGAGGCCUUGCUGCAACAUUCCCUGGGAGCCAUUGUAACAAGAUACACCCGUGAGCCUGGACAGUGGCCACAGAAGGCACGCAAGCUCCCGGGACCAUCUUUGCUGGUUCCACAUUCACACACGCUAGGUCUACAAGAACAGCCCUACUCUGACUUUAACACCAGGAGACAGACAGAAAUAGGAAGGGAUUUUUGGCCACAUUAAAGAGUAUAGAAUUCCCAA